AUUGAACGCUGGCGGCAGGCUUAACACAUGCAAGUCGAGCGGGGGAAGGUAGCUUGCUACUGGACCUAGCGGCGGACGGGUGAGUAAUGCUUAGGAAUCUGCCUAUUAGUGGGGGACAACAUCUCGAAAGGGAUGCUAAUACCGCAUACGUCCUACGGGAGAAAGCAGGGGAUCUUCGGACCUUGCGCUAAUAGAUGAGCCUAAGUCGGAUUAGCUAGUUGGUGGGGUAAAGGCCUACCAAGGCGACGAUCUGUAGCGGGUCUGGGAGGAUGACCCGCCAGACUGGGACUGAGACACGGCCCAGACUCCUACGGGAGGCAGCAGUGGGGAAUAUUGGACAAUGGGGGGAACCCUGAUCCAGCCAUGCCGCGUGUGUGAAGAAGGCCUUAUGGUUGUAAAGCACUUUAAGCGAGGAGGAGGCUACUCUAGUUAAUACCUAGGGAUAGUGGACGUUACUCGCAGAAUAAGCACCGGCUAACUCUGUGCCAGCCGCCGCCGUAA
Molecule: ribosomal RNA, 501 nt
Filed under: uncultured bacterium
Lineage: Bacteria
Description: partial 16S ribosomal RNA
Rfam family: Bacterial small subunit ribosomal RNA
Source: RNAcentral